CCUGAGAAACCCAAAAGAUCGAAUGGGGAGAUUCAUCGUUCAGCUGCGCUGGCUUCCGUGCGUGCAGCGAUGACGGGGACCUCGGUCUCGCGUCACGCGCGCGCUGCGGCAUGUCCGGCGCAGUCGGCGUGCACUUCUCCCCUAGUAGGACGUCGCGACCCGUUGGGUGUCGGACCAAUGGCCGUUCGGUCGCCUGUGUCGUGCUCGCAAGGGUACGGCGCAGACCGUUCGGUCGAACGUCCGACUGCCCGGCGGUAUCGAACGUUGAAAACUGGUACUGGGCCGCAUUAAGUGCGUUCCUGGCUCGUCGGCAGGCUCGUCUCGCUCGGAUUUACGGACCUAGUGCCGUUGCCGGGCGCUUGACUGGGCUGUUGGUCGACGAUGUCCUCGGACUGGCUCUUACCGGUCGG
Molecule: ribosomal RNA, 410 nt
Filed under: Cirrospilus pictus
Lineage: Eukaryota; Metazoa; Arthropoda; Insecta; Hymenoptera; Eulophidae
Description: eukaryotic LSU rRNA
Source: RNAcentral